CACAUUUUAAUCUGUUCACACUCUCAGACAUUAAUCACAUUACUUUACAAGCUGCCACCUCAAGAUUUUAUGGAUACAAACACACAGACAGGACACAGGAGUUGGGAGUAACAUGAUUGAGGAGGACAGUGGCAGGGUCAGCUGCUGGCAGUGGUACUGAGAAGAAAGACGUGCGCAUGCUGCGGUUCAUCCAGGAAGUCAACACCACCACACGCUCCUGUGCAUUAUGGGACUUGGAGGAAGAGACAGACUACAUCGUACAUGUCCAGUCCAUCAGCAUGUCUGGGACGAGCCCGCUGAGCGAACCCCUGCGCUUCCGAACGCCGAAGGAGGCCGAGACUCAGGCCUCUAAGAGUAAAGACGAAGUGACGAUGGAGGAAGUGGGCCAGACCACCCAGCUGAGGGCGGGGGAGCUCAUCAUCAUCGUGGUGGUACUUAUCAUGUGGGCAGGUGUGAUCGCUCUCUUCUGUCGCCAGUAUGACAUAAUCAAAGACAACGAGCCAAACAACAACAAGGACAAAGCCAAAAACUCCUCAGAGUGCAGCACUCCUGAACACCCAACAGGGGGGCUGUUGCGCAGUAAGGUAUAACCCACCCCUCUCUCCUCCUCCCCCCCGGGUGCCUCCCCCUCAGCGGCGCCGGGCAGUUCCCUAAGAACAACAACAAUAGGAUGCCAUCUGUCAACAUCAUUGAGGUGUGACUGCCAGGACGUCUUCUCUUUAUCCAAAAGACUUUGUGUUCUCACAAACAAGCGGGCCCCUUUUAAGCCAAUCUGCUUGUCAGGAUGAGGCUGGGACUCUAGGCCCCCCUCGGCGGCGCCUACUCUCCUUUGGCACGUGACCUGCCGAUGAAGCGAAGCUGCAGGACUCCGGGGGCCGGGCAUGGCCUGGCCGGAGCCGGUCUGAGAGCAGAGCCCGCAGUGGAGAGACUGUGGCGAGAGUCCAGUGGCUCCACCGUGCUCAAUAACUACUGUACCAUGGGGCAGCAGAGCCAAAUGGCUCCGGCAGUGGACAGACUGCAGAUCCACCAACCCCAGGGACCAAAGCCGAUAAACAGAGCCAGAGACCUUGUUAUUCUCUUUCUCUCCCUUUCUCUGAUUCCCAUUUCUGGGUGGCACUAAACUGCAUCCACAAAUAUUCUCCUAAUCUCACUUUCUAGACCUUAUUUUUUCUUCAUAACAUCCUCUAUUCUACACUUUCUUAAUUGUAUCAUUCAAGUAUGUCACUGUAGUUUUUUUUACUUUACAAGGUGCCACCAGAACAGUUCUGUUGUUCUGGUAUCUUUUUUUUUUUUUUUUUUUUAGACCACCCCUCAGGCAGAAACUUUUUUGCCGUCCUGUGGGAAAUGUUUUCAUUCUGGCGAGCUUGUUUUCCCCCCUCAGGGAAUCCAGACUCCACCUGGCCAAUUUAGCAGCCAUUUCUUAGAUGUGCUGCAAUGACGCCAGAGCAGCUUUAGAGGGAUCACUCCGCUCACCACCAGAGCUGAAUCACCCAAUCUUGUCAGAAAAGAUGAAAGGCGUCUCUGAUCUUAACACAUACAUGUCUCUAACAGGACAAGUUUGGUAUCACAUUUGCGUCCUCUAACUUUUUUUCAUGAUUUUAUUUUAGCUUUCUAAAUUGUUACAUUCCACUUCCAGGAUGAACCCUUUAGUAUUUCCUUGUGUCUUUCUCUUUGAGGGUGAUGAAUUUCAAAGCAUUCUGAGGAGAAAAAAAAAGAACUGCCAUAAUGGAGCGCAUCAUCUAAUUAAUGAACUUUAAAAUGGGCUGGACUCAUGUCUACAGAGAGGUGGACUUGCCUCUGUAGAGACACUGGAAGAGAUCCCUUAAAUCAGCAAUAACAGCCCUCAGUGAAGCACGGAAGCAAGGACUUCUGAAAUGAGUGCGCACUCUGUAGCCUCAUUUUCAAAUGAUCCCUGAAAAAUCUUUAAGCGCUGUUGUAAAAACUUUGGUUUCUGCUGGAGAGCAUGGAGAAAAAAAAAAAAAAAAACUUUUUAUGGGCCCAACCUUCAACCCUGAGACUUCCUUAUGACAUCUUGAACCGAUGUCACCGAGACAGAAGGGCUUCUAUCAAGACUUUUUCUCAAUUCAAAGUCAACAUUUGUGUAGAAACUCACUGUUGCAGAGGUUUCAUUUAAUGAUAAGGGAUCAACUGUCACCAUACAGUACUGUGAAACGUAUACUGAAAGGUAACUUUUUUGCUGCUCAGCAGCUUCUCAAUGGGCCAGGCCUGUGAGUUGGCUGUGGUGAUAAGAAAGCAAAUGGUGUAUUUGAGGGCUGAUUCAAACUCAGUAGUACUGCCUUAAAAAUAAUUAUAUGUUUUAUUUAACAAGAUGGAAGGCCCUGUAUCUCACAUUUAUGUCAUAUUCUUUACCUUUCACCUAAUAUUCAAACGUGUGUGGAAAGUAAAAGGUAAGUACAAAUCUAGCUGGCUGAGGCUUGUUGAAAAGCUCAAACAUUUAAUGUGUAAAUACAUUUUAUAUUUCAUUCUUGUUUGGUGGUGUCAGUUUAGAGAGCCUUUAAUGAAAUAUGGCGAGACAAACAUGGAAAAUGUAUAUUCUUAAUGUAAGAGGGUACUGCUACUGGUGGGAAAAAGGUGAUUUUUUUGUUUAUACUCCGCUGUUAAAGUCCUGUUAUUAUGAAGCUUUUCAUACCUGUAGCACUUAUCUACUGUUAUGUAUUUCUAUUACAUUAUGUCAUUGUGCUGUUUAUGUGCAAUAAGAAAAGACUCUGGAUAGUUUAAAUAAUGAUCAAAGCAUAAUGGUUCAGAGCCACUCAGUAGCUGGAAAUUGUGUUGACAGGCAGAAUGAUAAACUCAUCAGCUGCUCUUGUUCUGCACGGAUUCCGUCUCGUUCUGCGAUAUGCCGGCUACUCAUUUAUUGUCAACACAGACAUUUACAUGUGUGCAUGCAAACAUAACAGGGGCAUAACUCCCUGCCGAUGCACACGCUGUAGCCUUGAGUGUGGCGGGAGAUGGAGGCAGUAAAGGCGGUAAAUAGAGAGAGCAAUGAAGGUUACGGUUGAGCAGAGUGGGUAGAAUGAUGACUGCUGCAAUGGCAGGCUUUUAUCACUCCCUACCUCCCUCUGCCUCCACUUCCACUCUUAAUAAGAGAGAAAAAGCUCAAGAUUGCACUCCUCCAACAAGCACUGAUUCAUGUCAGAGGCAAAGAGCGGGUUUAAAGCAAAGGCAAAGUGUUGGAUAAGGGGGAAAGAGUCGCAGGGGCCUCCCAGACGUUGAGCUGUUGCCAGGACAAACUUGGUGAAGUCUUGAGAGGCUGUUCUGCUGCAUUACCCAGAGUGAUCAGCACUUCGUCGAAAAACUUCUGCCGCUGAGGGUUGAAUCCAUUCUUCCCCAGGAAUACUGCAACAGUAGCAGGCACACCAAUCGAUAGGCAUCCAUCCACACAGUAACAGAUAAUGAUGAUAGUCUCACUGGAUGAUUUCUUUGAACCAGGGCCAUGUUUUAAAUUUGCCAGCAAUGUAUUUCUCAACAGCAAUCCCUGUUGGCAUUGGUGUUAUUUACUUUCCUCCUCCUCAGUUGCUUAAAUGAGGAAAACUUCAACUAGAAACGAGGGGUUUACUUUUAAAGUGGCUACAAAGAUUUUUCUGGUGAACUCUUCUACAGUGUGUUGCCAGUGUAAAUACUGUAUUCCUUAUUACUGAUUUAAAUGUAGGACUAUUGUGAACAUUCACCUUUGUGGCAGGUUGACAUCCAAAUUUAGGGUUAGAAGUUGCAGUUCCAGCAGCCUGUUUCAUGGUAAACAGCUGUGGUGUAUCAUUUGAUUUCACCAUGUUAAACAAGAGAGAUUUUACAUGUUUGGCAGAUUUAUAAAGGACAUUUGGGUAUCUAAUUAGGGUCCACACACUUCAUAUCUGGUGGUGUCCUGCACUGAAGUUUGCUCAGUCAGCCAUACAUGGACAUUAGGCCUACUGUUUGUACUACAAACAAAUUGAUCAUAUGGACUGAGGUUGUUUAAAAGGUUCAGCUGGUAUUGAGACAGGUUAAGUGGUCACCUGUCGACCAGAGAUGGAAACUAUUUUUUCCCUUAAUCACACUCGACUUAUGGUGACGACUGUAAGAACAUUCCACAUUUAAAACAUUCCACUUGAGCCCCGUGGUGGCAAACUAGUUUUAUCAAGACACUUGAGGACUUCCCGUUCUAUGUCCAAUACAAUGCUUGAAAAAUAUGCUUGGUAGCAGACAGUAAUGGGCUAUUUUGCAACGAGACACCAGUGCAGUAUAGAGACAAAACAACUUACACACACCGUUUAUGUUGUACGAGUAGAAACACGCCUGGAAACUGAAACUCAAUAUUGCAACAUUACAGAGAAGUCAACCUAUUUCAUUAUGGGUUCUUGAAAUAUAGGAAUGAGAUCCACAAAGAAGCAUGGUUUAGAAAAAUGAACUGCUUUAUUAGUGCUAUCAUGUUUAUAUUCAUUGUAUGAAGUGUACAGCAGUCAUUGCUUAAUGAGGGCUAGCAUGGUUUAACUAUUAUGCACAAGGUUACACAACUUCAAUUAUGAAGAAUAUGGUGUAUGCUUACUUGUGUAUGCUUAAAUAAAAUUAAAAAAUAUCUAAUAUUUUCCACAAAUGUGUGUGUUUGCGCUUAAUUGGGGACAAAAACAAUGAGGUGGUGGUAUUCAAAAUAAACUGUGAGAUUGCCUAAACCUUUUCUGAGCAAAACAUGUCAGGCUGGUAAACUAUUUUUUAAAGAAAACUGUUAAAGAAUCCAGGAAGUCGGGCUUUUACUGUAGUGAAUAAUACAUGUGAAUCUGUCUUCACCAGGGUUCAACUGUCAGACUUUUCUCUAUCAGAUAAAGCACAUAGGCUUACAGUUCACUAUUUUACUGUUACUGGAGAGGAAUAGAGCUCAGUCUAAGGUAGACAUUAAUCCUCCUGAAAAAUCCAGCCAACAACACGGUUUCAGGUAUUUAAUGUUGAGUCAGCAACUAGUGUAAGUAAACGUGCCAGGAUUAGUAAUGAAUUUGAAAUCAAUUACACCUGAACGCCAUGACCCAACAAAUCACUUUUCAAGUUCCAAAUUAGAUUAUGUUUAGGUUUGUCUUUCCAUUUGCAUCAAUACAAGAAGAGCAAUUGUCUUGACGGUCUCUUGACAGAAUCACCGCUGCAGAAGAACUGUGAGAUAAACACAAACAGCCUCCUCUCUGCUGAAAUCCUGCCCGUGACUCUGGAGGGGUAAACCAUUGUCGGAAGGUGUGAAGAGGUGCUGUAGCUGCUCUGCUGCACACGUGCCCUGCAGUCUGCUCAGCACGUGUCAUGAGGUCUCCACCGACACCCACACAAACCACUGUUUUCUGGAUGGCUGGCCAGGGACAGGCUGCCCCACUCUCUGUACAGACAAGAUUACUUUAACGGCCUGCAUUAUUCAAUGACUGGGACCUAUGCUGAUAAGGUCCAAGUGUUUGGGCUCCCUGGGGCCACUUCAGUCAGUCUGUACCUGUGCACGCAACUUAAGACGCUGUGUAGCGGACUCAGAACAAAGCUGACAAAGAUACAGAAUUAUUGACCAAACAUUAACAGUUAACCAAACAGGUAAAACCUUAUGAGUACUUCAUCAGCAGCACUGUCUCACCCCCACACCAACACAGCCCUACUCUGACUCCAGGGAAAGAGCUCUCCACCCAGUGUUACAGAGUUUAAUGAAACCACUGUGCAUUGAAUCUCCAAGCAGCCGAAAAUAUGCUGCGGUCACAUCAGCUCUACAACUAAAGGGUCAGUUCACACAAAACACUAAACCACUUACCCUGAGUGGCAGUAUCUAGCCACGCAGAGUUUAGGAUUUUGGUUCAGGUUCAUUCAUCUUGGUGUUGCAUUAUCCACUGAUAUCCCUAAACAAUGGAGGUAAAAAAGGAGUUUUGUUUAUUUUCAAAGAACUCAAGAGCUGGGCUUUUCAGGAAUAUCCACAGAGGCGAACAGGUUCCAACAAGAACUAUUGUAUUCCAAAAAGGGUAGGCCAUACAAUCACUUUCAGCGAACACCAAUCCAACGCAUGGGACACAAAACUUAAACUAUUUUUUGUCUGCCCCAAUAUAAAAUAUACUGACUUAACAAGUACUUAAAUACAUAUUAAAACAAAGUCCUUAAAACAUGCAUUAAUUUUCACACUCGGGUACAUGCAUAGUUCAAAGAAACAGAAUAACACACAGAAUAACACUCAAACUGACAAACCAAAAAAAAAAAAAAAAGAACACCACAAAUU
RNA transcript from Thunnus maccoyii (southern bluefin tuna), 6217 nucleotides. It is a transcript of the gene named fibronectin type III domain containing 5a, with no coding region annotated. NCBI's taxonomy places the organism in Eukaryota, Metazoa, Chordata, Actinopteri, Scombriformes, Scombridae. The record is from RefSeq and is a predicted model, not a curated record. The transcript is spliced from 5 exons.